UUCCGACCUGCACGAAUGGCGUAACGAUGGCCACACUGUCUCCACCCGGGACUCAGCGAAGUUGAAAUGUUUGUGAAGAUGCAAUCUACCCGAGGCUAGACGGAAAGACCCCAUGCACCU
This 120-nucleotide ribosomal RNA is filed under the name Gallionellaceae bacterium. RNAcentral describes it as "partial 23S ribosomal RNA". It matches the Rfam family "Bacterial large subunit ribosomal RNA", at positions 1981 to 2100 of the family's 2925-position model. The record is from RNAcentral. Lineage: Bacteria; Pseudomonadati; Pseudomonadota; Betaproteobacteria; Nitrosomonadales; Gallionellaceae.